Ricinus communis (castor bean) is the source of this 2221-nucleotide long non-coding RNA. RefSeq lists it as uncharacterized. The record is from RefSeq and is a predicted model, not a curated record. NCBI's taxonomy places the organism in Eukaryota, Viridiplantae, Streptophyta, Magnoliopsida, Malpighiales, Euphorbiaceae. The transcript has 7 exons.
GACAAGGCCUUAGGAUAUCAAAGAGUACUAUUGGCAAGAGUUUUAAGUAUGAAUUGCAACUAAUACUAUCCUCAAUAUAAUGUUUUUUAUUUAUUGUUUGUAAUUAGUUGCAACCAAAGAUUACUAUUCUUUUAAUUAGUUGUUUGUGUAUUUAAAGUUGCUUUUGUGUGUUAUAAUUGAAGAUUGUAUCUGUCGAGUAAUUUGGUGACUCGAAGAGAAUUAAGGGCAGUAUGUAUGUAGUUUUAUUAGUAGUGUUUAUUAAAUUAUUUUAACGGGACAUGGACCUGUUAUAUGGGGGGUAUAAAUUUAUUUUAUAGGGGAUGUUUUGUCGAAUUUUCUACUAACAACUUAUUUUUUCACUCUAAUUCUGACUAAUAUGUUUUUUUUUUUUUUUUUUUUGUAUUCUUUCUCUUAGAAGCACUUUACAUGGCAGCCACAGCUGGAGACCCUGAUUUGUAGGAGGGGGGAGUCGCAAGCAGGUAUCCGGUUACACCAAUAAUUUAUCGAGGUGGAGGAGAUCCGACAAGAGACCUUUCCCAAAGAAUGUUUGAGAAAAUUGGCAAAAAAAAUAGUCGAAGCCUGUGUCCAAACAAGUGUUCUCAAUAUCAAAGAACCGAGUGAGCGAGACAUGCAGUCCUCAAUCCGGUCCCUCACGCCAUACUGGAGUAUCUAUCUCUAUAGUAGAGCAUAUUAGAUGUAUGAGAAAGCUAUUGAGUCACAAGACGAUUCGACGAAGACGCAUGAGCUGGAUCCAUAGCAAUUGUCUUAGAGGUGUUUGGCGGAGAGAACAAGCGCCGAGUGUAUGGCAUGGGUGGUAGAGCUCUAAACUUCUACAACAAUUCCUCCUCCUCCAGUUCUCAGGCUGGCCCUGCCACUGUAGCAUGAAAGUGUUACGUUCUAUUGUUAUGGACGGCAGUCAAAACACUACGAUAAAAGUGCAGGAAUUUUAGUUCUACAAGUUGAUGCGCCUGCAAAGGGUCCAGUGUUGAACCAAAGCUAAAAGAAAUAGAGAUUGCAGCCGCUUACACGUCCUUGUCUUUUGGAUAGGAUAUUUUGGGAGAUCCAUGGAACGACCAAAGCAGGAAACAACUAGAAGAAAAACCAAAAUAAGAAGUUGAUACCAUGGCAAAUCCAUCAAGAGAAAUAGGAGCUGAAAGACCAAUUGCAAUGAAAGAUUAUGCCCGGCCUAUAAUUGGUACACCUAAAAAUGAUGGAUUAGUGCAAAUCAAUAAGGAGAGCAUACAAAAGGAAGAAAAAGUAGAGCCUAAUCUUAGGCUUGACAAGAAAGAAAAGGAAGCAUUUUUUGAACCUGAAUUUCGUUUAAGCUAGCUUAUGCAAAAUUCUUUAAAGAGUUGAACACCAACAAAAGGCGAUAUGCGAACAACGAAAAAGUACAAGUAGUAAGUAUAAUGCUUCAAUAUCAGUUGCCCCUUAAGAUGAAGGAUCCUGGUAGCUUUACCAUUGAUAUCAAAAUAGGUGACAAAAAGGUUACAAAAGCCAUGUUAGAUCUAGGAGCAAGCAUCAACUUGAUGCCUUAUUCGAUGUAUGAACGACUUGGCUUGGAAGAGUUGAAGCCUACCACUAUUGUCUCUACAAUUUACAAAUAAAUCAAUAAAAUAUCCUAGAGAUAUAGUGGAAGACUUGCUAGUACAAGUAGGUAAAUUAAUAAUCCCAGCUGAUUUCGUAGUGCUUGACAUGGAAGACAAACCAACAAGAGAUAAAGAGAAAACUAUACUCCUUGGUAGACCUUUCAUGGCAACUACUAGAACUGUGAUUGAUGUGCACGAUGAAAAACUUAUCAUGACAGUUUUAGGAGAAACUAUAGAAUUUAACGUGUUUAAUUCUCUAACUUUAUCUCCUAAAUCUACAAUUGAUAAGUGUUCAUAUAAUUAUUUAGAUUCUCUUGUUUAUGAAUAAUUCUAUGAUGAUAUUUCAUUCUUAAUUAACAAGAGCUUUCAUGACACUUUAGAUAUUCACAUUAAAAGUAUGAAGCCAUACUUGAAAGGAAUGGCUUAUGACCAAGUGAGCGAAUGAAGGCCACCAAAAGCAUAAUCAGGAAUGUCUAGCUAUAGACAAUAAACUUAACAAUAGUAUUUUUAUUUUUAUUUUAUUUUUAUUUUAUGUUUCUCUUGUAGGCCUAUGUUGGAAAAGGAAACAUUCCUAAUUUCUUUGAUCCCAAAAGGUAAUAUGUUUCCAUGUGAAGCAAUUAAACCUCCUUAAA